This 1135-nucleotide long non-coding RNA is filed under the name Homo sapiens (human). RNAcentral describes it as "HSALNT0183083". The record is from RNAcentral. Lineage: Eukaryota; Metazoa; Chordata; Mammalia; Primates; Hominidae.
AGAAUUGACCACAAAUGUCCUUUCAUUAAGUGGUUGUUAAAAGCCUUAUUUUUGAAACACAGGAGGAAAAAAGAAUAUAAAGAAGAAAGGAAAAAAAGGAGUCUGAAAGUUUUCUUCAGAGGCUUCAUCAUUCUAAAACUUAUAGGAGUGCUUUCCUAAAAUUAUGGGAAUAUGAGGACAAGAAAGAAGGUAAGCAAGGUAAUUAUUAUAGUUCUUAGUAUUAUCUCUGAAGAAAUAUAACUUGGUUAGAAUCCUUAUUAUUCCUGUUCCUAGCUAUGUAACUUUGGGUAAGUAAUUGGACAUCUUUAAGCCUCAAUUUUGUAAUCUAUUAAACAAAGGUAAUAACUGUAGCUUCUUGCAAAGGUUUGCCGAGUGGAUUCAAUGUAAUGAGCAGUAUAAGGAACCCAAGAGUAGGUUUGUAGGUUUGUGGGCACACAGUAAACCUUUCCUAAAUGGUAGUUGCUCAUCAUCAUCAUCGUCCAGAAUUAGAAGAUGAUUUAGUAAUCAUUUAGUUUUACAGAUUAGGGACCUCAGAUCCAUCCAUUCAUCCAUCCAUCCAUUUAUUUACUCAUUAAUUCAACCUAUAUUAAUUAGCCCCUGCUAAAUGCCAUGUACUGGGAAUAAAAUAUUAAAUGAGUUGGGGGUUCUUAAUUACCACACCUUGAUGAUAUUUUAUAAUCCUUAUAACAACAACAAGAGGAACUACUUUUUGUGUGUGCCACAUGAUCCAGAGGGCUGCUUUCUCAUGCAUUAUUUUAUUUAAUUCUCAUAAAUAUAUAUGAAGUAGGUUUUAUUAUUUCUAUUUACAGAUGGUAAAUCAGAAGCUUAGGGAGAUUAAGCAACACACCAAAGAUCAUGUAAUUAGUAACCGAGUUAGCAUGGCAACCCAGCUCUAACUCCAAACCCACACUUUUGACAUUACACAGGGAAGUUCCAAUAGUCCAGAGAAGUGGAGUGAUUGCUCAUGAGAUCAUGGGAAAGCUAUUGCAAGAGCCAGGAUCUUAUGAAUGAAGUUACUGUGUGUGUAAAUGUGAAUAUGUGUAUUUAUGAGUGUUUUUUUCUAAACACUGCUAUUUUCAAUCAGUUAAGAAUUUUGCACUCUUUUUUUUUCUUUAAAUAAUCUCUUAAACUAUUC